RNAcentral lists this ribosomal RNA (497 nucleotides) under uncultured bacterium. RNAcentral's name for it is "partial 16S ribosomal RNA". It matches the Rfam family "Bacterial small subunit ribosomal RNA", at positions 28 to 507 of the family's 1533-position model. The record is from RNAcentral.
GAUGAACGCUGGCGGCGUGCCUAAUACAUGCAAGUCGAGCGAACGGACGAGAAGCUUGCUUCUCUGAUGUUAGCGGCGGACGGGUGAGUAACACGUGGAUAACCUACCUAUAAGACUGGGAUAACUUCGGGAAACCGGAGCUAAUACCGGAUGAUAUUUUGAACCGCAUGGUUCAAAAGUGAAAGACGGUCUUGCUGUCACUUAUAGAUGGAUCCGCGCUGCAUUAGCUAGUUGGUAAGGUAACGGCUUACCAAGGCAACGAUGCAUAGCCGACCUGAGAGAGUGAUCGGCCACACUGGAACUGAGACACGGUCCAGACUCCUACGGGAGGCAGCAGUAGGGAAUCUUCCGCAGUAGGCGAAAGCCUGACGGAGCAACGCCGCGUGAGUGAUGAAGGUCUUCGGAUCGUAAAACUCUGUUAUUAGGGAAGAACAUAUGUGUAAGUAACUGUGCACAUCUUGACGGUACCUAAUCAGAAAGCCACGGCUAACUACGUG